AACGCAUCUUGCACUCCUUGGUAUUCCGAGGAGUAUGUCUGUUUGAGUGUCAUGAAUUCUUCAACCCUCCCUUUUCUUAGUGAAUUGAGAGGUGUUUGGAUUCUGAGUGUUGCUCCUAACCCGAGCUCAUUCGUAAUGCAUUAGCAUCCAUAUUCGAAUUUCGGAUUGACUUGGCGUAAUAGACUAUUCGCUGAGGAAUCUAACUUCGGUUAGAGCCGGAUUUGAACUAGGAAGCUUAUAAUCUAGCUUAGUCUACUUUAAGUUUAGAUCUCAAAUCAGAUAGGAUUACCCGCUGAACUUAA
Molecule: unclassified non-coding RNA, 302 nt
Filed under: uncultured Sporidiobolales
Lineage: Eukaryota; Fungi; Basidiomycota; Microbotryomycetes; Sporidiobolales
Description: sequence contains 5.8S rRNA gene, ITS2, 28S rRNA gene
Rfam family: 5.8S ribosomal RNA (bases 1-52)
Source: RNAcentral